Molecule: long non-coding RNA, 1947 nt
Organism: Mustela lutreola (European mink)
Lineage: Eukaryota; Metazoa; Chordata; Mammalia; Carnivora; Mustelidae
Exons: 3
Source: RefSeq, a predicted model, not a curated record
UAGAUGUUUUCCCCGACCAAGGAGGCUGCUCCACACCUGGACCUCCCAAAUUCUGGGGCACACAGGGCUCAUCUGCCGAUUUUGCCCACUUCUGCAUCCACGUCUCCUUCACUCCUCAAGACAUCACCUCCUUGUCCCUGCCAGUCCGCCUUUUUCCGGUGGCACAAGACCCAAGUCCAUCCUUGGACAGUGACUAAUUUCGAGGUGUCCUGUGACCCAGCAAGUCCAGUGAGAGCCCUUGAUGAGGAUCUUCCACCGGGCACGGUGAAAGAGAUGCCCCUUUGUCUGGGAUUGCCAAACACAAGGAUUUGAACACCUUCCUGCGAGACCCUACCCGAAAUUCAGCUGGAGCAGUGACAGGUAGCGGAGGCGGGGAGAGAGUUCGGGACCUGGAGAUACUGGCUGAGCCUUUGGUCUGCAAAGGGAGAGCCAGACGCUCACCGCUGGGGAACCACCCCGUCCUCAGGCGUGACCUAACUGAACUGUCUCUGCACCCUCGCAGGCAACGUGCAGACUGUGAAAUGAGGCUCGAAAGGUGGGACGGCUUGUUCAAAGCCCCCCGGUGAGAAAUACUGGUUUGUCCAGACGGGGAAGAGUCGUGCCGCUCCACAAUUCUCCCCACGCGACCCUUGCGCUGUCUCGCCUUCCCUCGCCCGCCGGCAGCCCCCGCAGACUCCUGAUCAGCUCCGGGUCAGCGUCCCGUCAGUGUGGCCGCCAGCGCUUGACUGCUUUCGCUGAGCACUCCACGCCGCCUCGGGGAGCUCAUCGACGUGUCGUAUGUGUCCGUGGUCUGGGCCUCCCCCUUCCGGCAGUGCUCCGUGGUUGGGGCACCCGGACUUGGUCGGAGCAGCCGCUGGCGGGUACGUGGGUUGUUCCAGUUCAUGCUGGUGGUGAAUAAAGCGCCGGUGGGCGUCUGCGUGCGGAUUUCCGCAGGAAUGUGUGCCUCAGUUUCUCAAUGGGACGGCUGCGCCAUCCAGGCCGGGGAGCGCUUCAGUUGUCCCGACACCGCGGUUUUCCGGCGUGGCCGCCCCACCUCACUCUCCCGCCCGCGGCGCGCCGGAGCUCCCACGUCUCCUCAGCCUCACCAGCGCCCGCACUGUCCGUGGUGUCCGUUUUAACGGUUCCCGUGGGAGUCUGCCGCCUCCUCGUCACAGGCUCGAGUCGCGUAUUCCCAGUGGCUGACGAGCUUGGACGUCUCACCGUGUGCCCGUCAUCCACGUACCGUCUUUGGUGAAGUAUGGUGGACGUCUUCUUACUCGUUUUUAAUUAGGUUAUUUGUUUUCAUGCUCACUGAAUUUAAAAAAACGUCUCAGCAUUUGCAGCGUCGUGGCCGGCGCUACGUGCACCAAGCGGAGAAGGACACAUGCCGUGUGCUCUCGCUUGCGUGCGGCAUUUAAGAAACAAAACAAGUGAGCAGAGGAGGAAAAAGAGGGAAAGAGAGAGAGAGACAAAGCAAGAAGCAGACUCUCAACUGCAGUGGACACGGCUGGUCCCCGGGGGGGGGGGGGAGGACGAGGGCCGGGGAGAGCGGGGGAUGGGCCGGAGGAGCGCGAGUCGUGAGGAGCCGCGGGACACGUGUGGAGGGGCUGAGCCGCCGUGCUGUAGCCUGACACUAAGGUCACUGCCUGGUAACUAAGUGGGACUUAAUAAAAACGUAGAGUCUGAGGACAGCUGACGCGUAAUGAACUGCAUACGUGUAAGUCAUACGAUCUGCUGUUUUGCCGUGACGUCUCCAUCCACCAAACCAACACCGUGAUCAAAAUAAAGACUGUGGCGUCAGCUCCCCUGUCCCGGCUGCCCAGUGUCCUUCAGAAGCCCUCACACUCUCCCUUUAGCUCAUUCGUAGGCAACAGUAAGAAUUCGUGUCUCCUCUCUGGGUUUUCUUGUCACUCCCGCUAGAGUUUUUGUAAAUUUCAUUUUGAGAAGCCAGAUUUUCAUUUUAUUGAU